Molecule: long non-coding RNA, 1216 nt
Organism: Acanthaster planci (crown-of-thorns starfish)
Lineage: Eukaryota; Metazoa; Echinodermata; Asteroidea; Valvatida; Acanthasteridae
Source: RefSeq, a predicted model, not a curated record
CAACCAGCUUGGAAUAAGUUGUUUGGCGACGAUAGUCAAGGGACCAGCCAGUGAGUUCUGGACCAAUUUGGAAUCCCCAGCCAUGUUCUUUUCGUCUCGUUGGAGAGAGAAUGUAGAAGUACAGACCACAUCUGCUCCCUGGGCAACCACGAAGCGACGAAACAUCAAUCCUACCCGCCACUCUCGAGGGUUCGAUGUACAUGUAGCACAUGUAUAGCGCCUUCUACGACGACCCUCAUCAGUUCUUCAAAUUUAACUGUUCUGUAGAAGAAAGUUGUUCUCAUUUUCCUUAACCCAAAAGAGGCUUUGUUUCCAAGCUCAAGAAGUGUGUCCCGCUGGGAGAGGAAUAAGGGACAUGUUUUCCCUCAAAAAAAAAGAUGUUGAUAGCUGCCGGCGACUUAAAACCUGGCUGUCAUUGUUAAAAUCAGUAUUGCCAGAUUUACUUCAUAAUUAUUACAAAAUUAUUUCUGUUCUGUAUAUUAAAUGUAUAUCACUAGCAUAGGCCGUUUUGUACUGAGUAAAAUUGUUUGUAGGCCUUAUGAGUCCUACAUUUUAUUCCUGCAUGUUAAGACCUCCCCAUAUUCAGUCGUUUGUUUUUGUUUUAACUGCUACUAUAAAGGUUUGUCACUAGCUGAUAAUUUGUUGUUUUGCUCUAUCAUUUUUUUAGGGGAGAGGGUUUUUUGAUUUAUAUCGUCUUUACUCGGCUCCACGUUUCCUAUACAUGGUCACUGCUUUUGUACGAGCAUGGUACGAACUUGACUGGUCCGCGUGAGCACGUCUUGACAUGAAGAUCUAACGUGAACUUUUAGUGAGACAUUCAGCUCCGAGUCAGUCAGAACAUGCAUGGCGAAGGCAGCUUUAGCGCAAAGUAUGGUGGGUUAAUCGCCGAACAGUGGAGCGACGGGGAAUUCCCCCUUUUGGCCCGCACGAACAACGUUAUUCCUCACAUCGCAUAAACAUGUCAUGACCUUGCAUACUAGAAUGGUUCAUGUUUAUGACUUCGCCGGCUACGUGGUUUACAGUUUUUAUGACCUUUGUACUUGCUUUUGGAAUAGGUGUUCGUAGACAUUGUUGAUAACAACUGUGUUUAUAGUUUUUCGUCAUGCCAUGACGGUAAUUUUAUUCAGUCAUAAAUCAAUAUUUUUUUCUUGCCCAUUUCAAUGGAACAAAAACAUGAUGAGUAUAGAAACACACACAACUAUUGGGUAGCAUAAUA